Hypanus sabinus (Atlantic stingray) is the source of this 597-nucleotide long non-coding RNA. RefSeq lists it as uncharacterized. The transcript has 3 exons. NCBI's taxonomy places the organism in Eukaryota, Metazoa, Chordata, Chondrichthyes, Myliobatiformes, Dasyatidae. The record is from RefSeq and is a predicted model, not a curated record.
AUGGAAACGAAUCAGCGCUGCCGGAAGCAAGAGUGAUGUCCACUGUAGUUCAGGUUUAGUGUUGUCGUAGACAUACAUAUACGGUGUAAAUGCCAUGAGCUGUUUUUAUUUGCUGCAUGACGGACACAUCCUUCCCUCCCGUCGGUAAUAUUUACAGGUACAGCCUCGGAAAGUCAACAUCAUCAAAGAUCCCUACUAUGCCAUCUUCUCGCAUCUACCAUUGGCAGGAGAUACCGGAGCAUGAAGUCCGACACCACUAGAUGCCAGAAAAGGCCAUGACUGAAAAUGAAACGAUUUCACUACUUCAAGUAGAAACUACAAAGAAAUUCAAGGUGCUUCAGGUGCCUCUGCUGCCACACCUGCAGUCUCAGGAAGAGCUUCUUCCCCGAGGCUGUGACCCUGCUGAAACUCACAUCACAGUGCUAAGCAGUAUUGCACCCAUAUUGCACUGUCUUAGUACUUUCAUAUUUGUAUGCUGUAGCACUUACUUUUUAUUCGCAGUUAUUUUGUAAAUAACACUAUUCUUUUGCACUUUAGAUGCUAAUUGCAUUUCAUUGGCUUUGUAUCUGUACUUGGCAAAAUGACAAUAAAGUUGAA